This 1587-nucleotide long non-coding RNA is filed under the name Ananas comosus (pineapple). Its description in RNAcentral is "long non-coding RNA (ACOM_LNC008381)". Lineage: Eukaryota; Viridiplantae; Streptophyta; Magnoliopsida; Poales; Bromeliaceae. The record is from RNAcentral.
CAAUCCAAUUUGCUAUUCGCAAGCUAGUUCAUAUCCAGUUUGAAAUGAGCUCAAGACCGAAUCGCGUACUGAACACAAAUUGAAAAUUUCAACCUAUUUAUUAAACAAGCCGAACACAAUCUGAUGUCACCUCACUUAUAUUCGGCUCGAUAACAGCUCAAAUAUAUAUAUAUAUACAUAUAUAUAUCUAUACAUAGAGAGAGAGAGAAAGAGAGAGAGAGGGAAAGAGAGAGAGUAGAGCCACUAUGCUAUCAGAAGUAUAGAGAAUCUGAUGCUUUCGACUUUUUAACCCCACCCUUAAAUCAAUCCCUUUAAUCAUUUCUAAUCUUUUGAUUAAUACUAUUACUCUGCAGGGGCCACUCAAUCCUAGGAAUACUAAUCAACCCUAGUUGGGACUGCAAUCAUCCCAACAGCAUAAUUCUUGAUCCAAGGAUCAAAAAAUUGGAAGCAUCAAAUUCUUUAUGCUUCCGAUAGCAUAAUAGCUCUACACUGAGCUAGGCUGGUAUAUUAUCGGUAGCACGGAGGCUUUCGUGCUAUCAAGUUGUUUUCAAUGAUGUGGCUUCUAAAUCGACGAUCGGCUCCGUUAGACUUGAUCUACGCUACUAAAAGUAUUUGAACACUAAAUUUCAUAAUUUUUCGACAUUAUUUACCUAUCAAACAAGUAGUCUAAAAAUUAACAGCUGAAAAUAAAAAUCUUAUAAAAAAUGACGAUAAAAGACUUGAAUUUAAGAUCAGAUGUACCGAUCUUACUCUAAAUAGUGAAACAAAAUUUAUAUAAAAAUUUCAUUAUAUUUGAAUUGUUUGACACCAUUAAAUUUACAAACAUAUCACAUCAAUUAUUAAAAUUGUCAAUUUUGAGACAUUUGAGCACUAGCCAAAUAAUGUAAAAAAAUUAUAAAAUUUAGUUUCCAAAUACUUUUAAUAAUGUAAAUCAUGUCUAAUGGAGCCGAUCGUCGAUUUGAAAGUCGUAUCAUCAAAAAUAAUUUGGUAGCAUGGAGACCUCCGUACUAUCGAUAGAAUACCAGUCUAGCUAUAUAUAUAUAUAUAUAUAUAUAUAUAUAUAUAUAAAGAGAGAGAGAGAGAGAGAAUUAGGCUGGAAUACUAUUAAUAGCGCCAAUGACUCGGUGCUAUUAAGUUUUCUGCCCUUGGAUUAAAAGAUGUGCAGUUAAAAUGAUGUGGGCCCUCUAGAGUUGAGUGAUUGGUUAGUUGAAUAGUAUAAUCGAACGGAUGAAAAUGAUAAAAGAGAUAAACCUAACGGCAGAAAACUUGAUAGCACCAAAAUCCUUCGUGCUAUCAAUAGUAUCCCAGCCGGACUCUCUCUCUUUCUCUCUCUCUCUCUCUCUAUCUCUCUCUCUCUAUAUAUAUAUAUAUAUAUAAUCGAACUCAAUUGUAAUAGGCAUAUUUAUAUAUAAGAUUUCAACCAGAUCAAAAUUUAAUGGGUAAAAUUUUUUAUAUUUAUUAUAUAUAUAUAUAUAUAUAUUCUUUUAAUACUCUUAACUUGUUACUCGUGAGCUAGCUAAUGUUCACUCGUUAAUAAACGAUCCGAAUACGAGUUGAAUUUUUUUAGCUAGAUGAAACGAACCAAAC